UGACUAUUCAGGAAGUACAGACUCUGUACUUUCCGUUGAUGGUAGUUUCAUAAAAAUCAAGUGAACAGAACUUGUGUUGUAGUUGCUUGUACAAGUACAUGUUUUGGCCAACACGCACAGUGUCUCCAGCAAAAAUGUUCUUCUGUCAAGUAAAGUGUUUUUUAAGACUAGUAACAAGCAGUACAUUAUAAAGGAAGCUCUCAGGUGAAGGUCUGCACAUGGUGGUGGAUGGUGCAACAUGACGAAAACUUGUUAAAUACAUCUCAGCGAAGCCAUUUGUAAUGUUUCGAUAUUAAUUUGUGAUGUCUGGUUCAAUUCAACGUACAUGUAUCAAGGUCUGAAUGAAUAACUGUACUUCACCUUCCUCUCACUGAGCACAUGCUUCUCCAGCAUAAUAAUAUUCGCAUUUGUCACAGGAGGAAAUUGCUAUCGGCACAACAUUGUGAACGUAGAGAUAUGUAAAUACCCAUGGACGAACAAAAUUACAAGAGUUAGAGCCAUUUUUCACUCAGCACAAUUACUUAGGCAGGAAAUUUCCUCCUCUGUAAUUACACACUGAUUGUCUUCAUAUCGAUAAACCUCCAGGAGAUGCACUUCUUCGUCUGAGCAGGAAUACCAACGAUAUUAAUAACAGAACGGCCUAUCUUGUUUCUGACAGGAGAUCCACACACCCAGCUGUUCUCUGAGAGGGCAGCAAGGUGCUCUUCAUUCAUUUAAAUGUUAUCGUUCACUUUUAGAAGUGUUUCUGUACUAUAUUAUCUCUGCGUGUACGUAUAAAUGAUUAAUUUUUGUCUAACUUCGAUCCUGAUUAUAGCGUUGCAAAGAAUUUUGUCCUUUACCUUUUGCUUUCAAAAGAGUAGUAUAACACUUUUUCUUUCACUUUCUGCAAGGUACACUUCAAGGAAAACGCUUAUUCAGUGAUUAUAUGGUUGUAAAAAUAUCCUUGUAGCAGUAAUCAUUGAAGUGUAGUGUAGUUUCCAGGUGCGCAUUCGUAGCCAAAUGGCUGUUGCUAUGCGCAUUUGGUGUCAUUCAGUAGAUGACAAGGUGCACAUGACUGUCAAUAAGCUCUCAUGUGACUUAGAUGAAUAACUAAGCAGUUACCAUGGGUAUAAGCAUUGCAUGAAUCAGGAAAUAACAUUACUUCGAAAACCACACCCACAUUUCAAUAUUUCAUUGAAUUCUAAUUACAAACUAAGUGGUAGCCUUGAAACAGGGUUGUUAUAAAACAGGGAAUGAGAAAUGAGGAAAUGAGAAAUGAGGAAAUGAGGAAAUGAGGAAAUAAGAAAUAGGAAAUGAGGAAAUGAAGAAAUGAGAACGAGAAAUGAGCUGUUAGGCAGAGCAUAUCUAUGGGCAGAGCAAGUCUGAAGACGAAGCUAACAUCUACUGAGCUACAGGUACGUACCUCCUGGUGACAAGUCUCCUGGUGCUCUGCCACCAUACAGAACUUAUGUUCCUCUGGUACACGGUGUGACACUCUCUACCUCUAUCUACUUGUGUGCCAUGUACGACUGGCAUGGUUCAGACAUCAGAUCUACCUACGUAAUGGUACUUACAUGUACUGUCCUACAAACAAUUUACCUAUGCGUGGCUAUACUGGCAAUACAUUCAAUGAUUUCACAAUCCGGUGGGCAAGUGAUAGUCAAUGGACUGGACUCAAUGUCAACAUCUACAUGGUGAAGAAAGCAAUUCCCAUUACCAUUCUCACAAGCAAUGCCUAGUGAAAGCUGAUGCUACCUUUAAUGAAGAAAGCUCACUGUGCCAUCUGAAGCGAUGGUAAAAUUUAAUUCUUACAAUGUGUCCGACAACCUGUACUGUGUGGAGGUGCCACUAUAAUUUUAUAUAUUUGAUAACUAAAUACUUAGUCACCUACUAGCUUCUUGGCUGAUAUCAGUCAUUACUUUUGUGCAUCUAUAUAAUAUAAUUAUUAUUAUAACAAUGUCAUAAUUAUUGUGAUGAAAAUUAAUGCCAUGGUGAUGAUCGUAACCAUAAAUAUAUUAUUAUUAUUCUAUUUCUUAUUUCUUCAUUUCCUCAUUUCCUAUUUCUUAUUUCCUCAUUUCUUAUUUCUCAUUUCCUCAUUUCUCAUUCCCUGU
Long non-coding RNA from Halichondria panicea, 2090 nucleotides. RefSeq lists it as uncharacterized. The transcript has 3 exons. The record is from RefSeq and is a predicted model, not a curated record. Lineage: Eukaryota; Metazoa; Porifera; Demospongiae; Suberitida; Halichondriidae.